Molecule: long non-coding RNA, 2687 nt
Filed under: Homo sapiens (human)
Lineage: Eukaryota; Metazoa; Chordata; Mammalia; Primates; Hominidae
Description: non-protein coding lnc-MED14-4:1
Source: RNAcentral
AGAUGCUUGAAAUUCCUCUUUGGCAAAAGGAAUUCCCCCUUUCAGACUUCACUUUUUUAAAUGCAAAUAAUGUCAGAGUGGGGGUGCCACUUACUGUAAUGUAAAUCAGUUUGUCAGAGAUUAUCAAUGGAUUCUCACAGGAACAAAUAUAAUACAAAAUGGAAACUGUAUGAAUAAAGGACUGCAUUAAGGACGGUGACCUCUAUAGCCUAUUGAUAGAGAAUAAUUUCAUUUGGACACGUACUUUCUGGCAUUUGUGGAGCAACGCUGAUGAAGUGCAAUAAUGUAAAGCUUCAAGAUUGUAUUUUCUGACCUCUAACUUUGAGAUGCUACAGAGGGCCCCUGAAGCAUCCAAAAGAGAGGUAAACAAAGGUUUUUAUGGUUCAUGGAGGACAAUCAACCCCUUCACAAUCUCAAACCCAAAGAGUGGAUCUUCUGAGAACAUCUACCGUAAAGGCUAUAGUUACACAACAGACUUUAAAUUCUUUUGUGAAAGUUAUGAUAGAAUUGGCUGAAUAAAGAAGUAUCUGUGCAGCUGCUGGCACUUGUGGCCUAUGGAGAAAUACAUCAAAUGAAAAUGAUAGAGAUUCAGUGGUAGGGGAUUAAUGAAGAGAUUGCUUAGUUAAGUGAGUAGACUCUUUAUCUAGCUCGUUCUUUGAUCUAUUUGAUUUUAGAUGGUUUGGAUUAUGGGGACCCUGGGUAAGGAUCAAACUCCAAACUCUUAUUAUUAUCCUCCUGAUAGUCAUAAUAAUAGUCUACCUUGUUAGCUGUAUUUUCUCAAAGGUUUUAAAUGUUUGUAUGCAUUCUAGAGAUGUCUAGAAUGUCAAAUUGGUCUUUCUUCAACUGGAAUGACAAGAGCUGAAAGAAAUGUGUGACCAGGAGGACGCUGUAACCUAUGAAUGACAUGCUGAGUUGAGAAACCCAAAACGAUGGUAACUGAGAGUGAUGCUAAGGCCCUAAGUUUUGGUCACACUCUCACCCAAGUGAGAAUCAGACCAAAAAGGGGCAAUUUUUUUGAAACAAAAUUCUGGGAGGCCAUUGUUUUGUACUGAGCUCAUGCAUUAGGCCCCAACAAACCAAACCAAAGUGGAGUCACUUGUGCUAAGACUUUAAGGAAACACUUAGAUCCUAGAACAGACCAGGUUGUUUUUCUCCUGCAAAUCUCUAUAACAAACAUUCCUGACAGCAUAGGUAUCCAACCCCUGAAGUUCCCAUUAAAUCUUUUUUUUGUUUUGUUUUUCCUGAGACAGAGUUUCACUCUUGUUGCCCAGGCUGGAGUGCAGUGGCACAAUCUUGGCUCACUGCAACCUCUACCUCCUGGGUUCAAGCAAUUCUCCUGCCUCAGCCUCCUGAGUAGCUGGGGUUACAGGCGCCCGCCACCACGCCCAGCUAAUUUUUUGUAUUUUUAGUGGAGAUGGGGUUUCAUCAUGUUGGUCAGGCUGGUCUCGAACUCCUGACCUCAGGUGAUCCGCCUGCCUCGGCCUCCCAAAGUGCUGGGAUUACAGGCAUGAGCCACCGUGCCUGGCCCCCAUUAAAUCUUUUAACCAAAUUGCUUUCCUCUUGCCUGGAGACCAUCAAGCUUCAGAUGAUCACCAGUUCCAGGUGAAGACACCACCCCUGGCCAUCAAGGAGCUACCCUAUCUCCACUAGACAGAGCAGGGUGAGAGUUCCCUGAUCCCCAGUAGGUAGGGACUACGCUCCAAACCAGCAUGAAGCAGUUGCAGAAGAAAGACGAUCGGUCCCUCUGCGUCCCAUGAAGAUUUAUGGGGAUCAUGUCUCUCAGGGGGGAAAUGAGGCAGGAGAAUAGGGUCCGGGGUCAGGGAACCUAAGGACUUCCUAGAACUAAAUUAAACGGAAAAACCCCAACUGUCUAAGACCAAGUCAGCUAUGACAGGAACUAUCCUCUUCAUUUACAUAGGUUGUACACCAAGUAAAUGACAUUGUAACUUUACUUCAUCCUCUUCAUUUACAUAGUGUGUACACUCAGUAACCAAUGGAAACCUCUAGAGGGUAUUUAAACCCCAGAAAAUUCUGUAACCAAGCCCUUGAGACGCUUGCUGAGGCCCAUUCCCAUCCUGUGGAGUGUGCUUUCAUUUUCAAGAAAUCUCUGCUUUUGUUGCUUCAUUCUUUCCUUGCUUUGUUUGUGUAUUUUGUCCAAUUCUUUGUUCAAAAUGCCAAGAACCUGGACGCCUUCCAUUGGUAACAAAGGGAGACUAGGAAAUUUAGUCCCUACUUGGGUAGCAGUAUAUCAGUUACUAUAAUGGAGAGAAUAGAUUUUGGGGGACAGCCAGAAAUUUCCAUCACAGGAUACAAUUUCCAACAUUUUAAAAUUGAAAUUUUAAAAUGAAAUAUACAUUAUUUUAUCAAAUGUAUCCAAUGGUUGCUAAAUUCUGUAGUGAUUAAUAUCCACCACUAAAUUCUGUAGUGGUUUAAUAUCCACCAUUGUCAAUUUUUGUAAAUACUCGAACAAGCUCUUCUUUAACAGCUGGAUAUGUUAUAUUAUUCCUUUCUCUCCUAGAAGUCAUAAUUCUAUUUCACCUCCUCCACGAAAUGUUAUGCUAAUGUAAUAUAUUUUAGGUUUAAAAACCUUUUAUUAAUCAUCCUAUCAUACUUCUACGAAAGCAAAAAUAUGUGUUUACAUAUGUAUGUGUACAUAGGUAUAUACAAAUAUAGAUAUAUUGAAAAUU